GGGCGAUGGCCGACGGAAGGAGGACGCGAACGAGAAGUGGGGAUCUGGGAAGGAGAGCUGGGACUGAGAAGCACGAGAGCGCUUGAGCAAAGAAGCAAGGUUGUCUGUCUCCGUCGGGUAGGAAUAGGGGCAAAAAGAUGCUUCUGCGCUUCCGUCUUCCGUGACAAAGGUUUCAGUUGUUUUGACAGAGGAGGUGCGUGGGACAGCAACAGUAGGACCGAACCAGUUUUCUGAACACAUAAAAACAUAUCAGAGUGUAGUCUGAAGUUUG
This 271-nucleotide long non-coding RNA is filed under the name Zea mays. RNAcentral describes it as "long non-coding RNA NONZMAT002805". The record is from RNAcentral. Lineage: Eukaryota; Viridiplantae; Streptophyta; Magnoliopsida; Poales; Poaceae.